This 137-nucleotide ribosomal RNA is filed under the name uncultured eukaryote. RNAcentral's name for it is "partial 18S ribosomal RNA". It matches the Rfam family "Eukaryotic small subunit ribosomal RNA", at positions 1299 to 1458 of the family's 1831-position model. The record is from RNAcentral.
UGGUGGAGUCAUCUGUCUGCUUAAUUGCGAUAACGAACGAGACCGUCACCUGCUAACUAGCCCGUAUUGCUUUGGCAGUACGCUGGCUUCUUAGAGGGACUAUCGGCUUAAGCCGAUGGAAGUUGGCGGCAAUAACA